UACGUAGGGGGCAAGCGUUGUCCGGAUUUAUUGGGCGUAAAGAGCGUGUAGGCGGCUUUACAGGUCCGUUGUGAAAACUCGAGGCUCAACCUCGAGACGCCGGUGGAAACCGUAAAGCUAGAGUCCGGAAGAGGUGAGUGGAAUUCCCAGUGUAGCGGUGAAAUUCGUAGAUAUUAGGAAGAACACCAGUGGCGAAGGCGGCUCACUGGUCCGGUACUGACGCUGAGGUGCGAAAGCGUGGGGAGCAAACAGG
This 253-nucleotide ribosomal RNA is filed under the name uncultured bacterium. RNAcentral's name for it is "partial 16S ribosomal RNA". It matches the Rfam family "Bacterial small subunit ribosomal RNA", at positions 524 to 776 of the family's 1533-position model. The record is from RNAcentral.